This is a non-coding RNA of Canis lupus familiaris (dog), 73 nucleotides long. NCBI's taxonomy places the organism in Eukaryota, Metazoa, Chordata, Mammalia, Carnivora, Canidae. The record is from Rfam.
GCCUGGCUGGCUUAGUCAGAAGAGCAUGCGACUCUUGAUCUCAAGGUUGUGAGUUAGAGCCCCAUGUUGGGUA